Molecule: ribosomal RNA, 426 nt
Filed under: uncultured Lysobacteraceae bacterium
Lineage: Bacteria; Pseudomonadati; Pseudomonadota; Gammaproteobacteria; Lysobacterales; Lysobacteraceae
Description: bacterial SSU rRNA
Rfam family: Bacterial small subunit ribosomal RNA
Source: RNAcentral
GGGGAAUAUUGGACAAUGGGCGCAAGCCUGAUCCAGCCAUGCCGCGUGGGUGAAGAAGGCCUUCGGGUUGUAAAGCCCUUUUGUUGGGAAAGAAAAGCAGCCGGCCAAUACCCGGUUGUUCUGACGGUACCCAAAGAAUAAGCACCGGCUAACUUCGUGCCAGCAGCCGCGGUAAUACGAAGGGUGCAAGCGUUACUCGGAAUUACUGGGCGUAAAGCGUGCGUAGGUGGUGGUUUAAGUCCGUUGUGAAAGCCCUGGGCUCAACCUGGGAACUGCAGUGGAUACUGGAUCACUAGAGUGUGGCAGAGGGUAGUGGAAUUCCCGGUGUAGCAGUGAAAUGCGUAGAUAGUAGGAGGAACACCGGUGGCGAAGGCGGCUUGCUGGACAAAGACUGACGCUGAGGUGCGAAAGCGUGGGGAGCAAAAA